Molecule: ribosomal RNA, 253 nt
Filed under: uncultured bacterium
Lineage: Bacteria
Description: partial 16S ribosomal RNA
Rfam family: Bacterial small subunit ribosomal RNA
Source: RNAcentral
UACGUAGGGUGCAAGCGUUGUCCGGAAUUAUUGGGCGUAAAGAGCGUGUAGGCGGCCCGAUUAGUCCGCUGUGAAAGUCCAGGGCUCAACCCUGGAAUGCCGGUGGAUACUGUCGGGCUAGAGUCCGGAAGGGGCGAGUGGAAUUCCUGGUGUAGCGGUGAAAUGCGCAGAUAUCAGGAGGAACACCUGUGGCGAAGGCGGGUCUCUGGGCCGAUAUUGACGCUGAGGAGCGAAAGCGUGGGGAGCGAACAGG